CCAGCACCCCGAGUGGCCGGGACGAUUAUUGGGCCUAAAGCAUCCGUAGCCGGUUUUACAAGUCCUCCGUUAAAUCCAACUGCUUAACAGAUGGGCCGCGGAGGAUACUAUAAGACUAGGAGGCAGGAGAGGCAAGCGGUACUCAGUGGGUAGGGGUAAAAUCCGUUGAUCCAUUGAAGACCACCAGUGGCGAAGGCGGCUUGCCAGAAUGCGCUCGACGGUGAGGGAUGAAAGCUGGGGGAGCAAACCGGAUUAGAUACCCGGGUAGUCCCAGCUGUAAACGAUGCAGACUCGGUGAUGGACUAGCUUUAUGCUAGUCCAGUGCCGCAGGGAAGCCGUUAAGUCUGCCGCCUGGGUAGUACGGUCGCAAGACUG
This 375-nucleotide ribosomal RNA is filed under the name uncultured organism. RNAcentral's name for it is "bacterial SSU rRNA". It matches the Rfam family "Archaeal small subunit ribosomal RNA", at positions 476 to 851 of the family's 1478-position model. The record is from RNAcentral.